Molecule: long non-coding RNA, 972 nt
Organism: Lemur catta (Ring-tailed lemur)
Lineage: Eukaryota; Metazoa; Chordata; Mammalia; Primates; Lemuridae
Exons: 5
Source: RefSeq, a predicted model, not a curated record
AAACUCAAGGGCGGACCUGACCGGCGAGAGGGAGCCCCCGCCCCUGGCCGUGACGACUGCGGACCCGCCGAGCCCCGCUCCCGCCGCGGCCCGGGGUGCGGGCGGGCGGCCCCUCGGCGGGAGCCGGCCAGGAUGCUGGGGAGAUGAGCAAUGGAUGAUUUUGGCUUCCUCUGAAUAACUCCUGAGAGGGCAUGUGUAGUUCCUCUGUGGGAGGACAUUGUCACCUGUGUCAACACCUUUGAGGCUUUAGCUAAACUUGUGGGAGGUUAUAAACUCCAUGGAAGUUCCCUAAUAGUGUCCCAUAACUGACCAUUGUCUUGAUACACACUGGGUUCAUAGGAAAGAUACGGCAUGUGGAAGACACUGUGCAUGAGGUGAAUGAGGAGUUCUUCCAGCUCUCUUCUCCAGCCCUGGAGCUCCAGAAAGAGGAGGAUGAGCCAGACCCACUGCCCCCAGGUGAAGGCAGCACAUUUGUGGUGGCUCCCAGCAUCUCCCCUUGUGAGUGGCAGGAAGAUAAACUUCACCCACUGGAGACAAGUGGCCCAGACGGAGAGAAGCUGGGACCCUGGAUCCUGAAGAGCCACCGGGCCCUGGAGCUGGAGGUGAGGAGAGUCCACCUGGCUCAGAGGAUUGAAGACCUGGAGUGGGAGCUGUCCUUGCUCCUUCAGGCGGCCAACAGCAGUUCAAGCAGGAGGGAGCUGGCCCAGCCAACACAGCAGCCUAAGGGGCACUGAGUCACAUCAGAUGCUGCAUGGUGGCCACCUCCAGGAGGUGCCUUCUCACCGAGAACAUGAACGGGUUCCCCUGGUAGGAAGGAGUGGGCAUCUGGGGCCCGGAGUGUGUGCUGGUUUUACGACGUGCUCCUACAGGGAAACACCUGGAUUUCUUUCAGAGCCUGGACCUCAGCUUGUGCUCAAUUCUGCCUUGAACUUUCUGGGGUGAGGGAAAAUAAACUGACAUGGGUUGACAAAA